This 274-nucleotide ribosomal RNA is filed under the name uncultured bacterium. RNAcentral describes it as "partial 16S ribosomal RNA". It matches the Rfam family "Bacterial small subunit ribosomal RNA", at positions 523 to 796 of the family's 1533-position model. The record is from RNAcentral.
AUACGGAGUGUGCAAGCGUUAUCCGGAAUCAUUGGGUUUAAAGGGUCCGCAGGCGGACUAAUAAGUCAGUGGUGAAAUCCUCUCGCUUAACGAGAGAACUGCCAUUGAAACUGUUAGUCUUGAAUUCGGUCGAAGUAGGCGGAAUGUGUCAUGUAGCGGUGAAAUGCAUAGAUAUGACACAGAACACCGAUAGCGAAGGCAGCUUACUAGACCUGGAUUGACGCUCAUGGACGAAAGCGUGGGGAGCGAACAGGAUUAGAAACCCUAGUAGUCC